GUGGCGAACGGGUGAGUAACACGUGAGCAACCUGCCCUGGACUCUGGGAUAAGCGCUGGAAACGGUGUCUAAUACUGGAUAUGAGCUCUCAUCGCAUGGUGGGGGUUGGAAAGAUUUUUUGGUCUGGGAUGGGCUCGCGGCCUAUCAGCUUGUUGGUGAGGUAAUGGCUCACCAAGGCGUCGACGGGUAGCCGGCCUGAGAGGGUGACCGGCCACACUGGGACUGAGACACGGCCCAGACUCCUACGGGAGGCAGCAGUGGGGAAUAUUGCACAAUGGGCGGAAGCCUGAUGCAGCAACGCCGCGUGAGGGAUGACGGCCUUCGGGUUGUAAACCUCUUUUAGCAGGGAAGAAGCGUGAGUGACGGUACCUGCAGAAAAAGCGCCGGCUAACUACGUGCCAGCAGCCGCGGUAAUACGUAGGGCGCAAGCGUUAUCCGGAAUUAUUGGGCGUAAAGAGCUCGUAGGCGGUUUGUCGCGUCUGCUGUGAAAUCCCGAGGCUCAACCUCGGGUCUGCAGUGGGUACGGGCAGACUAGAGUGCGGUAGGGGAGAUUGGAAUUCCUGGUGUAGCGGUGGAAUGCGCAGAUAUCAGGAGGAACACCGAUGGCGAAGGCAGAUCUCUGGGCCGUAACUGACGCUGAGGAGCGAAAGGGUGGGGAGCAAACAGGCUUAGAUACCCUGGUAGUCCACCCCGUAAACGUUGGGAACUAGUUGUGGGG
This 718-nucleotide ribosomal RNA is filed under the name Microbacterium aurantiacum. RNAcentral's name for it is "partial 16S ribosomal RNA". It matches the Rfam family "Bacterial small subunit ribosomal RNA", at positions 95 to 827 of the family's 1533-position model. The record is from RNAcentral. Lineage: Bacteria; Bacillati; Actinomycetota; Actinomycetes; Micrococcales; Microbacteriaceae.